UACGUAGGGUGCAAGCGUUGUCCGGAAUUAUUGGGCGUAAAGAGCUCGUAGGCGGUUUGUCGCGUCUGCUGUGAAAACUCGGGGCUUAACUCCGGGCCUGCAGUGGGUACGGGCAGACUAGAGUGCGGUAGGGGAGACUGGAAUUCCUGGUGUAGCGGCGAAAUGCGCAGAUAUCAGGAGGAACACCGGUGGCGAAGGCGGGUCUCUGGGCCGUAACUGACGCUGAGGAGCGAAAGCGUGGGGAGCGAACAGG
This 253-nucleotide ribosomal RNA is filed under the name uncultured bacterium. RNAcentral describes it as "partial 16S ribosomal RNA". It matches the Rfam family "Bacterial small subunit ribosomal RNA", at positions 524 to 776 of the family's 1533-position model. The record is from RNAcentral.